Molecule: unclassified non-coding RNA, 1174 nt
Filed under: Hevea brasiliensis (rubber tree)
Lineage: Eukaryota; Viridiplantae; Streptophyta; Magnoliopsida; Malpighiales; Euphorbiaceae
Source: RNAcentral
AUUUGCCUUUUAUAUAUAAUUUCGCUUUUGCCGGCCCCGCCUAAGUCAAAUCAGCACAGUUGGGGCAUUUGCGUAAAUUGGAAAUUCUAUCGCGCCCCCAAUCCUAAUGGCGACGUCGAAAGAAACUUGGAGCGUCCGACACUCUCCCUCUGAAAGAAAAAUGUCUGAACGAGUCUCCGCUAUUUCCGUUUCGCUCGAUCCAAAACCUUCCCCUUAUUCUUUUUGUCUCAAAACCCUCUCAGAAUCCUUCAAGAUUUUCCCGAGAAACAAACGCAUUUUCUCUUUCAUUUUUGCCCUUCUCGCUCUUCCUCUCUCUUUCCUCAACUUCUUACUCUCUCUCUCCUCUUACCCGAUCAAGUCACAGAUUUUCCACCUCGAAUUACUCGCCUCCCGUGCCCCUACUCGCUUCGAAGCUCGCCAGGUCUGGAAAGAGUCACGCGAGGUUGCUCUCUCUCUCCUCCACAUUAAACUCCUCUAUCUAUUACCCAUUUACUUUCUCUCUCUCAUCGCUGCCAUUACAGUCGUCGUCUCCACCGAAUCCACCUACAACAGACGACCCACAAAUCUUAAAAUUAUUUUUGCAGCCAUCAGGUCCACGUGGACAAGGCCGUUGGUUACUUCAAUCUGCAUCUACGCUAUUCUAUUAUUGUACACUAGUAUACCCUACUCGUUGGCGGCUAUGAUUGGGAGCUAUAGUCCCGGACUGAGAUUUGUAAUAUGGCUUAUUGGAUUGGGUGUAGAAUUAUACCUAAUAGCUGUUUUAGGAUUGGGUCUGGUGGUUUCGAUUUUGGAGGCAAGAUUUGGGUUGGAUGCGAUUCGGAUUGGGUCGCGUUUGAUGGAAGGGAGGAGGAUUUGUGGAUGGGUUUUGUCUGGGUUAUUGACGGUGAUGACGGGGGGAAUUGGGCGGAGAAUGGAGGGUUUGGUUAUGGACAUUGAAGAUUCGGCAGAUGAAUCGAAAUGGACGGUGGUGAAGGGGUGGGAGAGGGCUGGCCUGGUUGGUCUAUAUGGGUUGGUGAUUAUUUGGGGUUUCGCCGUUACUACUGUUUUUUACUGUGAAUGUAGGAAACGACAAAACGGAAGAGUGGUGGAUGAGCACGACCACGAGAGUGUUGAUUCUUGACAUUGCUUUGCUUUUGUAAAUUGUGUAUUCAAAACCACGCAUUUUUUUUUUUUU